This 29-nucleotide non-coding RNA is filed under the name Mus musculus (house mouse). The record is from RNAcentral. Lineage: Eukaryota; Metazoa; Chordata; Mammalia; Rodentia; Muridae.
UAACCUCAGUUCUUAUUCCAUGGUGCUGA